UGAGGGUCGGUUUCUGGUUGAAUCAAUCAUCAAAAUACGUUUAAACAUAUUUUCUCUGCCUAAAAAGAUACAUAUUAUAAAGAGAUGGUUUUAAAAUAUAUAUUUUAACGUUUACAAUGAAAUUUUAGAUAAUAAUGAUAAAUUCUAAAUUUGAAAAAAAAUUAAAUAUAUUUAUUGAAAUCUUAUUAACAUCAUGAGGAAUAUAUACAAUCACAUAAAAUAUUGCAUAUGCAUUUAUAAUCAAAAUUUACUAUUAUAUAGUUCUAAUAUAUCCUAAAAUUUACUAAUAUAUACUUCUACGAUAAACUAAUAUACAGUUUUUAAAACAUAGUGAGUAUUGAUAUUAUAAGCUAGGGGCUAAC
RNAcentral lists this long non-coding RNA (362 nucleotides) under Brassica napus (rape). RNAcentral describes it as "long non-coding RNA (BNAP_LNC007244)". The record is from RNAcentral. Lineage: Eukaryota; Viridiplantae; Streptophyta; Magnoliopsida; Brassicales; Brassicaceae.